GACUACACCUCCCCCACCCUCCUGCAGCAGGGUGGAUCCCACCUAGCGGGACUCCCCACCCACCCCUCCAGGCCUUCUCCACUCCGGACUCUGGCCACUUGCCACCGUUGUCGCCCGCCGCCGCUGCAGGGAGGGUGCACGGAGGGAGCAGACCGUCUCCGGAGCCCGCCGCCCUGGGGGCUGCAGUGAUGGGGCCGGGCUGAGGCACCUGCCGGCGGGGUAGCAGGGCAGUCGAGCACGGAGGGAGGGGCGGGCCUCCAGGGGACUUCAGCGGGAGCCGGGCCUGGGGCGGUGCCGCACUUGCACACGGAGUGUGGGGGGCCAGGCCUGGGACCAGGAGCUGGGGCCGGGCUUCGGCGCAGAGGCAGGAAGAGGAAGCGGCACCCGCUUCGGGGACCCAGCCGGCGGCCAGGCCACCGCGCCCACCCGGCCGAUGGCACCGUGUUCCUGCGCCUCGGGAGGGAGGAGGCUCUGCGCGGGACUGCAGGUUCUGCCCCGCAUCGGAGUGAUCGCUGAGCCUGACGCUCUCGAAGGCUGGGCCUGGGGCCCGCAAUCUACUCCGGAGGCUUUCCCACUGGGCAGGGUCGCUAGCAGGGUGCCACCCGGGUGCAGUGAGGACCUGGAGCCCCUGCCCCAGGCUGUGAGGAGACUUGACCAGAGCUGCCUGAAUGCUCCACGGAGCAGGAGGAAGCAUUCCCAUGUGAAAGAUGAGCUCCCUAUAAAAGCAACGCUCUUAUCAUCGAGAACAGAAAGUUGAAGCCAAGAGAGAGCUCCACAAGCUGACCUUGUUAAACUAACCCUUAUCUUCUUAGUCGCUUCUUUACCCAAUUAACUACCCUAG
This 841-nucleotide long non-coding RNA is filed under the name Homo sapiens (human). RNAcentral's name for it is "HSALNT0299440". The record is from RNAcentral. Lineage: Eukaryota; Metazoa; Chordata; Mammalia; Primates; Hominidae.